UAUUUUGUUUCUUUAAAGAAAAUUAUUAUAAGAAAUUACAUCUAUGGAAGUAAAAAAAUUAAGAAGUUAAUACUUUUUACCUUUUGUAUAUUGGUUUCACUAUAAAUAUAUUAGAUAAUAUUUCCCGAAUUGAGGAGAUCUAUUUAUUAACCUCUUUUAGGAGAAUCUCGGUUAUGUUGAAAUAUGGCUGUUAGAUUAGUAAAUAGGAGCGAAAAACUUUCAAUUCUCAGGAUAUCUGGUAGCCUCAAAAAAGCAUUUAGUGCUGAAAAGUUAGAUACAGAGUGAUGAGGUUUUGUAUAAAUAGAAUCUGGAACGAACAAUAUAUUUUAGAGUUAAUCCUAUAGAAAUUUUUUAUCAAAAAUAUUUAUUUUCUAAGAUAUCUAUAAACUAUGAGGCUUUUUCAUACAACUUUAUGAAACUCAUAAUGUGUAAAUAAGUAGUAAUAAAACAAAUUAUAUAGUUUUUUAUAUUUGAAAGAAAGUUGACUAUUGUUAUUUUUUUAAUUAGUUAAAAGGAAUUCGGCAAAUAUUGAUUUCGACUGUUUAACAAAAACAUAGCCUAAAGAUAUAUAUUUUAGGUUUGACCUGCCCAGUGUGUAUAAUAAAUGGCCGCGGUACUUUGACCGUGCUAAGGUAGCGCAAUCAAUUGGUUUUUAAUUGGAGCCAGGUAUGAAUGGAGUUACGGAAUCUUUCUGUCUCUUGACUAAUUUAUCGAAGUUACUAUGUAGGUGAAAAAGCCUACGAGAGGAAAAAAGACGAGAAGACCCUUAGAGUUUUUCUAAAAUUGAAUAAAGUAUUCAAAGAAGUUUUGUUGGGGCAACAAAGGAACAUGAAAAUUUCCUUAUUUAAAUUUACCGAUUAUUUUAAAUUUGAAUAAACUACCUUAGGGAUAACAGCAUAAUUUUAUAAGUAAGUUUGUGACCUCGAUGUUGGACUGGGAAACUGAAAGGCUAGCCGCCUUUCAGGUGAGUUCUGUUCGAACUAUUAUUCCCACAUGAUCUGAGUUCAGACCGGCGUAAGCCAGGUCAGAUUCUAUCUUUUUAUUUUAAGGGCUUAGUACGAAAGGACCAGUUCUU
RNAcentral lists this ribosomal RNA (1075 nucleotides) under Nembrotha kubaryana. RNAcentral's name for it is "16S ribosomal RNA". It matches the Rfam family "Bacterial large subunit ribosomal RNA", at positions 515 to 2700 of the family's 2925-position model. The record is from RNAcentral. Lineage: Eukaryota; Metazoa; Mollusca; Gastropoda; Nudibranchia; Polyceridae.